GGUCCACCGUGGCAUCACGGGGAGAUUAAAGGUGGGGAUCUUUCGGGACCUGCCGCCUGGAGAGGAGCCCGCGUCCCAUCAGCUUGUUGGUGAGGUAACGGCUCACCAAGGCUUACGGGUAGCUGGUCUGAGAGGAUGGUCAGCCACACUGGGACUGAGACACUGCCCAGACUCCUACGGGAGGCUGCAGUCGAGGAUCAUUCGCAAUGCGCGAAAGCGUGACGAUGCGACGCUGCGUGGAGGAUGACGGCCUUCGGGUUGUAAACUCCUGUCAUGAGGGAAAAGUCGUCCGGCCGUGAAUACCGGUUGGGCUCGUUGGUACCUCAAGAGGAAGCCACGGCUAACUCUGUGCCAGCAGCCGCGGUAAUACAGAGGUGGCGAGCGUUGUUCGGAUUUACUGGGCGUAAAGCGUGCGUAGGUGGUCUCGUGUGUCGGACGUGAAAUCCCGCCGCCCAACGGCGGAACUGCGUUCGAAACUGCGGAACUAGAGUGCAGGAUGGGAGAGCGGAAUUCUUGGUGUAGCGGUGAAAUGCGUUGAUAUCAAGAAGAACACCGGUGGCGAAGGCGGCUCUCUGGAAUGUUACUGACGCUGAGGCACGAAAGCUGGGGGAGCAAACAGGAUUAGAUACCCUGGUAGUCCCAGCCGUAAACGGUGCGCACUUGGUGUUGGAGGUAUUGACCCCUUCAGUGCCGGAGCUAACGUUUAAGUGCGCCGCCUGGGGAGUACGGCCGCAAGGCUAAAACUCAAAGAAAUUGACGGGGGCCCGCACAAGCGGAGGAGCAUGUGGCUUAAUUCGAUGCAACGCGAAGAACCUUACCAGGGCUUGACAUGCAGCUGCACGCCCCGUGAAAGCGGGGAAGCCUUCGAGGGUGCUGCACAGGUGCUGCAUGGCUGUCGUCAGUUCGUGCCGUGAGGUGUUGGGUUAAGUCCCGCAACGAACGCAACCCCUGUGUCUAGUUGCCACCGCAGGUGAUGAGCCUGCGAGCACUCUAGACAGACUGCCCGUACAAGCGGGAGGAAGGUGGGGAUGACGUCAAGUCAGUAUGGCCCUUACGCCCUGGGCUGCACACGUGCUACAAUGGCCGGUACAGAGGGACGCAAUACCGCGAGGUGGAGCAAAUCCCCAAAGCUGGCCCCAGUUCGGAUUGGAGUCUGCAACUCGACUCCAUGAAGUUGGAUUCGCUAGUAACGGCGUAUCAGCUACGGCGCCGUGAAUACGUUCCCGGGCCUUG
Molecule: ribosomal RNA, 1233 nt
Filed under: metagenome
Description: bacterial SSU rRNA
Rfam family: Bacterial small subunit ribosomal RNA
Source: RNAcentral